CCAGUCCCACUCUCUUUCACUUGCGUAACAACCUCGUUUUUUUACUUUCCGCCCCCUCCCCAUUUCCACUUACAGUCCCCUCGACCUCUGAGGUUUUUAAUCUGUGACAUGAUUGGCUGGGCAGGCCCUCUCACAGAGCGGGUGUGGAAGGCUUUAGAAUAAAAGUACAGUAGUACUGUCAGCAUCAAACCGCUCUGAACCCAGACACACAGCAGCUUCGUGGCGCUUUUCUUUCACGUCCCGCUAUGUCCUCAGACAGUACCAUGGACUUGGACUUGGAGCUUGGUGAGUUGCUCCAGGAGUUCCAGGAUGUGGUGGAGGAGCUGAAGGCCCCUUCUCAAAGCAGACCGCAUGCUUACCAGAAAGCAUUGCACGAGGCCAAAACUCUCACAGGGCUGAGUGAAGACAGUGGAGUCGAGGACUCAGAUUACAGCAGUGAACCAUCUAUGGGGAACAGUUUGAAUACCAGUGAGGAGGAGCUCCACACAGCAGGAAUAACGCUGGCAUCAAAAGCCAAGCUGGGAGACACAAGGGAUCUUGAGAGUUUUAUCGACAUGUUGGACCGGGAACUUGCUGGUGCGUAUUUAAGAAAAUUACACCCUCUAUCAUCCAAUCUUUUCUUGACUUCUUUUGUACUGAGUCGACAAGCCAGCAGGUUGGAGUAUGUUACAGUGGCAGAGACGCGCCGACAUGAGCGUGGCGUAUGUUUUGGUGUUUUGGACUGUGUAGCAGUAUCCAGCUUGUUUCUACAGUGUACUGUACCCCCUGCUGUUUAUCUCUGAGCACCCUUUAUGUGUAAAUAUCAUGUCUGAGGACUCAGGUGGACUAUCUACACGCGCUUUAGUGAUAAUGGCAUACUUGACUACAUGAGCGUCAUGAUCCUGCUAUCAGCGGUAAAGCAGUGGUGUUCCAGAGGCCCCUAAACACACACGCAUCACCCAGAGCAUGCACACAAGCAACAGGGAGCAAAGCAUAAAUCCACUGCUAUCAGUGGUCUCGACACAAAGCGAAUUAACGUUACAAAUUAAUCGUAACUCCCCGUGUAUCUCUACAAGGCUCACUUAGUCACUGCAUAUUGAUGUGUUUAUUCACAUGCCUGUGCUUUUUCUUCUUCUUUCUUUUUGCAGAGAUGUGAACAGAGAGCAAAAGUGAGCUACGUACAAUAAUGGGGGGGGGGGGGGGGGGGGGGGGGGGGGAUAGGGAAUAGGCUGGGGGCGACAUGACUGGCUACUGCUGAGCAGAAAGAGAGAUAUACACCAGAACAGAUCUGAUGGAGCAAAUGGUCCCCUCGCCGCUCCGGGGGAAAAGGUUAACAUCCGAAAUUAAAAGGGCAGUCCAUUCCGAAAAUGCAAGAACUCCCACAGACCCCCGGCGAUGCUGCGUCCAGCCAGCAAAGACAACGUCCGCCUGCAGCAUCAGAUCCAGGAUGUGUGACAUAUUCUUAAAAUGAGACAAAGCUUCCAUCUGUUUGGGCAUGUGACAAAAAAGAAAGAAGAAACACAACAAAAACACUGCCUAGAGUAUAGAAAGCAUGUUUAUCCCACAUUUUAAAAAAAAAUCCCAUAAGUGCAAUGCCUGGAAAGGGCUCUAAAUCCUCACGGCUGUGUAGUUUUGAAGAAAGCUGAGCUUUGUCUGGAUCAAAAUCUUAGACGGCACAAAAGUUUUAGGCUAAUUUCAAACUAAUUUUAAUUAGAAGGGCAUUUCUGGUGUACAGGUCUUUAUGAUAUUUGUUUUGUUUUAAUAAUAUAUAAUGUAUAUACAGAUGAAUGCAUGUAAAAAUAAAAAGAGAUUUGUAAUGAA
This is a long non-coding RNA of Astatotilapia calliptera (eastern happy), 1800 nucleotides long. Lineage: Eukaryota; Metazoa; Chordata; Actinopteri; Cichliformes; Cichlidae. The record is from Ensembl.